GGGGCUGAUUCUGGAUUCGACGGGAUUUGCGAAACCCAAGGUGCAUGCCGAGGGGCGGUUGGCCUCGUAAAAAGCCGCAAAAAAUAGUCGCAAACGACGAAAACUACGCUUUAGCAGCUUAAUAACCUGCUUAGAGCCCUCUCUCCCUAGCCUCCGCUCUUAGGACGGGGAUCAAGAGAGGUCAAACCCAAAAGAGAUCGCGUGGAAGCCCUGCCUGGGGUUGAAGCGUUAAAACUUAAUCAGGCUAGUUUGUUAGUGGCGUGUCCGUCCGCAGCUGGCAAGCGAAUGUAAAGACUGACUAAGCAUGUAGUACCGAGGAUGUAGGAAUUUCGGACGCGGGUUCAA
This 345-nucleotide transfer-messenger RNA is filed under the name Escherichia coli. RNAcentral's name for it is "partial transfer-messenger RNA". It matches the Rfam family "transfer-messenger RNA". Rfam says of the family: Bacterial tmRNA, also known as 10Sa RNA or SsrA, is named for its dual tRNA and mRNA-like properties. Its role is to liberate the mRNA from a stalled ribosome. To accomplish this part of the tmRNA is used as a reading frame that ends in a translation stop signal. The record is from RNAcentral. Lineage: Bacteria; Pseudomonadati; Pseudomonadota; Gammaproteobacteria; Enterobacterales; Enterobacteriaceae. RNAcentral also lists the same sequence under 1 other name.